This 373-nucleotide transfer RNA is filed under the name uncultured Chitinophagaceae bacterium. RNAcentral's name for it is "16S-23S ribosomal RNA intergenic spacer". The stretch from base 59 to 132 matches the Rfam family "tRNA". The record is from RNAcentral. Lineage: Bacteria; Pseudomonadati; Bacteroidota; Chitinophagia; Chitinophagales; Chitinophagaceae.
AGAGCUUUAACGUAAUUUUAUUCGCUUUCUCUUCCAGUUUAACUUAUCUAGUCUAUCUAGUCCCGUAGCUCAGGUGGUUAGAGCGCUACACUGAUAAUGUAGAGGUCCGCGGUUCAAGUCCGCGCGGGACUACAUUAUCGUAUAGACUUGCGGGUUAGGAGGCAGGAAAGACAGAGGGGGGAUUAGCUCAGCUGGCUAGAGCGCCUGCCUUGCACGCAGGAGGUCGUCGGUUCGACUCCGACAUUCUCCACGACUCUUCUACAGUCUUCGUUUACGAAGGCGCCAGAAGGAUAAGUUCUUUGACAUGUUGGAAAAUCAAGUUUGUAAAUAAUUUUAAUUAAUUAUUCAAUAUAAUUUAAGUAGAAUAACAAGU